AUCCAGCUGACGAGUCCCGAAUAGGACGAAACGCGCGUUCUGAAU
This 45-nucleotide non-coding RNA is filed under the name Schistosoma bovis. The record is from RNAcentral. Lineage: Eukaryota; Metazoa; Platyhelminthes; Trematoda; Strigeidida; Schistosomatidae.